CGGCGGGCGAUCCGCUUCGGUCGCGCUGGGUGGUAUGGUUCCCCAGAGGCCGGUUCUUGUGCUGCCUACCCCUUCAGGGGAAGCGGGCCGCUCGAUGCAAGCCUCCAUCCCGCGCCCUCCAACGGGCGCAGGAGGACAACGGAGCACCCCCCGCGUUCCACCGAGCCUCGUCGGUCGCGUGGCGCGCGGGGACGUGCGAUGCUCUCGGACCCAGCGAACGCCGUGGGCGAGGACUCACGUCCCAGUCCCGAUAGAAGCUCCCACAUAGUGCAUGACGGCCGCUCCCGUCCCCCGACCGCCCCGGCGGCGCGGGUGCGAGGCGCGGCGUCGCGGAGGAAUGCUACCUGGUUGAUCCUGCC
RNAcentral lists this unclassified non-coding RNA (359 nucleotides) under Acacia cowleana. RNAcentral's name for it is "partial external transcribed spacer". The record is from RNAcentral. Lineage: Eukaryota; Viridiplantae; Streptophyta; Magnoliopsida; Fabales; Fabaceae.